CCGCGGUGGUUGUGGUAGUGCCUAGUGAUUGCUUCAUUAGUGUGUUCUAUAAUUCGUACCCGUUGACGCGAUACUGUGGGGACGUUCUUGUGUUUGUGCUGCACUAGUAAGGAGAAGGAGUUCAUGAAGACAGCGUGUACAAAUCAAGAGGUUAGAAGAUGUACCUGGUGAGCGGCCUGGUGACGUGGGUAGCCGUGCUUCUGCUAGUGCUUCCCCAGCCAGCCUACACUGCCCUCAAUGAUCGGCCCCGGGUGAAGUGUCAGUCGGGUCACCUGAGGCUGGAGGGCGGCACUGGCAAGAACAUUACCCUGGUCACGCGAGGCUCCGGUGCUGUCACCAUCAACGGGGUGGACGUGGCCGGCUCUCUGUCUUUG
This is a long non-coding RNA of Homarus americanus (American lobster), 374 nucleotides long. RefSeq lists it as uncharacterized. Lineage: Eukaryota; Metazoa; Arthropoda; Malacostraca; Decapoda; Nephropidae. The transcript is spliced from 3 exons. The record is from RefSeq and is a predicted model, not a curated record.